AGUACCAUAGUUUAUGACAAAAACAUUAGGUUGCAAAUCUAAAGAAGCAGAUAUAGCUGGGACUU
RNAcentral lists this transfer RNA (65 nucleotides) under Stenopus scutellatus. RNAcentral's name for it is "tRNA-Cys". The record is from RNAcentral. Lineage: Eukaryota; Metazoa; Arthropoda; Malacostraca; Decapoda; Stenopodidae.